ACCCCGGUAUUAUUACUGUUAUGGGUUUAAAUCGAGCUUAGCCUUGUUCAUUUUUUUACACAACACCCCCGUAAAAAAUACAACACGGCCCGCUCAAGCCCGCGGUACCGGAGACCGACCAGCGGAAAAAACCGCCCCAAAAGGCCGCAAAAAAGCCCCUCGAGCGCUUUUUCAGGGCAG
Molecule: non-coding RNA, 180 nt
Organism: Pseudomonas batumici
Lineage: Bacteria; Pseudomonadati; Pseudomonadota; Gammaproteobacteria; Pseudomonadales; Pseudomonadaceae
Source: Rfam